RNAcentral lists this ribosomal RNA (569 nucleotides) under uncultured bacterium. Its description in RNAcentral is "bacterial SSU rRNA". It matches the Rfam family "Bacterial small subunit ribosomal RNA", at positions 84 to 666 of the family's 1533-position model. The record is from RNAcentral.
GGCUAGCGGAAGUGGCGAAAGGGGCAGUUAUGCAUGGGUAACCUACCUUGGGGAUGGGCAUAGCCGUUCUAACGGACGGGUAAUUCCCAGAGAUUCAGCGGAAGGGCAUCCUUCUGCUGGGGAAUGAAUUUCGCCUCAAGAGGGGCUCAUGUGCUAUUAGCUAGUUGGUGGGGUAACGGCCUACCAAGGCAAAGAUGGCUAGCGGGUGUGAGAGCACGACCCGCGCCACUGGCACUGAGACACUGGCCAGACACCUACGGGUGGCUGCAGUCGAGGAUCUUCGUCAAUGGGCGCAAGCCUGAACGAGCGACGCCGCGUGCGCGAUGAAGGCCUUCGGGUUGUAAAGCGCGAAAGUGGGGAUAAAACCGAAAGGUUGAUAGAUCCACAGUAAGGACGGGCUAAGUUCGUGCUUUUCAGCCGCGGUAAGACGAACUGUCCAAACGUUGUUCGGAAUCACUGGGCUUAAAGGGCGCGUAGGCGGUCCAUCAAGUCAGGGGUGAAAUCCUGCAGCUUAACUGUAGAAGUGCCUUUGAUACUGAUGGUCUCGAGGGAGAUAGGGGUGUGCGGAA